GACGAACGCUGGCGGCGUGCUUAACACAUGCAAGUCGAACGGAAAGGCCCUGCUUUUGUGGGGUGCUCGAGUGGCGAACGGGUGAGUAACACGUGAGUAACCAGCCCUUGACUUUGGGAUAACUUCAGGAAACUGGGGCUAAUACCGGAUAGGAGCUCCUGCUGCAUGGUGGGGGUUGGAAAGUUUCGGCGGUUGGGGAUGGACUCGCGGCUUAUCAGCUUGUUGGUGGGGUAGUGGCUUACCAAGGCUUUGACGGGUAGCCGGCCUGAGAGGGUGACCGGCCACAUUGGGACUGAGAUACGGCCCAGACUCCUACGGGAGGCAGCAGUGGGGAAUAUUGCACAAUGGGCGGAAGCCUGAUGCAGCAACGCCGCGUGCGGGAUGACGGCCUUCGGGUGGUAAACCGCUUUCGCCUGUGACGAAGCGUGAGUGACGGUAAUGGGUAAAGAAGCACCGGCUAACUACGU
RNAcentral lists this ribosomal RNA (467 nucleotides) under uncultured bacterium. RNAcentral describes it as "partial 16S ribosomal RNA". It matches the Rfam family "Bacterial small subunit ribosomal RNA", at positions 28 to 506 of the family's 1533-position model. The record is from RNAcentral.